RNAcentral lists this ribosomal RNA (424 nucleotides) under uncultured prokaryote. Its description in RNAcentral is "bacterial SSU rRNA". It matches the Rfam family "Bacterial small subunit ribosomal RNA", at positions 355 to 796 of the family's 1533-position model. The record is from RNAcentral.
UGGGGAAUAUUGGACAAUGGGGGCAACCCUGAUCCAGCCAUGCCGCGUGAGUGAAGAAGGCCCUAGGGUUGUAAAGCUCUUUCAGCAGGGAAGAUGAUGACGGUACCUGCAGAAGAAGCCCCGGCUAACUCCGUGCCAGCAGCCGCGGUAAUACGGAGGGGGCUAGCGUUGCUCGGAAUUACUGGGCGUAAAGAGCACGUAGGCGGGUAUUCCAGUCAGGCGUGAAAGCCCCGGGCUCAACCCGGGAACUGCGCUUGAAACUGAAUACCUAGAGUCCGAGAGAGGGUGGUGGAAUUCCCAGUGUAGAGGUGAAAUUCGUAGAUAUUGGGAAGAACACCAGUGGCGAAGGCGGCCACCUGGCUCGGUACUGACGCUGAGGUGCGAAAGCGUGGGGAGCAAACAGGAUUAGAUACCCCCGUAGUCC